RNAcentral lists this ribosomal RNA (209 nucleotides) under uncultured bacterium. RNAcentral describes it as "partial 16S ribosomal RNA". It matches the Rfam family "Bacterial small subunit ribosomal RNA", at positions 1293 to 1500 of the family's 1533-position model. The record is from RNAcentral.
UCGGAUUGUAGUCUGCAACCCGACUACAUGAAGCUGGAAUCGCUAGUAAUCGCGGAUCAGAAUGCCGCGGUGAAUACGUUCCCGGGUCUUGUACACACCGCCCGUCACACCAUGGGAGUCGAUAACGCCCGAAGUCAGUGACCCAACCUGUAAGGAGGGAGCUGCCGAAGGCGGGAUUGAUAACUGGGGUGAAGUCGUAACAAGGUAGC